GAUGUGUCUAAGAGAUAGUGGCUGUUGUGUUGAUGGGCAAGAACACCAUAAUGCACAAGGCCAUCUCAGGGCAUCUGGAGAACAACUCAGCUCUGGAGAAACUGUUGCCUCACAUCCAGGGGGAUGUGGG
Molecule: long non-coding RNA, 130 nt
Organism: Prionailurus viverrinus (fishing cat)
Lineage: Eukaryota; Metazoa; Chordata; Mammalia; Carnivora; Felidae
Exons: 3
Source: RefSeq, a predicted model, not a curated record